UUUAUGGAGAGUUUGAUCCUGGCUCAGGAUGAACGCUGGCGGCGUGCCUAAUACAUGCAAGUCGAGCGAACAGAUAAGGAGCUUGCUCCUUUGACGUUAGCGGCG
RNAcentral lists this ribosomal RNA (105 nucleotides) under Staphylococcus delphini. RNAcentral describes it as "partial 16S ribosomal RNA". It matches the Rfam family "Bacterial small subunit ribosomal RNA", at positions 1 to 100 of the family's 1533-position model. Lineage: Bacteria; Bacillati; Bacillota; Bacilli; Caryophanales; Staphylococcaceae. RNAcentral also lists the same sequence under 1 other name. The record is from RNAcentral.